Molecule: long non-coding RNA, 327 nt
Filed under: Triticum aestivum (bread wheat)
Lineage: Eukaryota; Viridiplantae; Streptophyta; Magnoliopsida; Poales; Poaceae
Description: long non-coding RNA (TAES_LNC004493)
Source: RNAcentral
CGAGUUUAACCACACAGCAGUAGUUCUCUCGGAGCGGCUAUAGUUGGCCAACCAAUCGGCAACUCUAUUUUGGCUACGGUGAAUUUUUUGAGGUAAAAACUCCCUACUACUCAUCAAAUCCUUAAUCUCUAGAACUAAAUGACCAUAAGCUGAGCGAACCAAAGCAUUGUUUGAUAGGCUGGCUAGUGCUUCUGAAAAGUCCGACGACUGAACGACAACGGGAAGGGUCGUAUGAUGGAUGGCCAAGGCCAUGUCUUGCAUGAUCGCAUGAAGUUCAGCUUCCAAGGAGUCGUUGCAGUAGAAUAAGACACGAUAAGUAGCAAAAAU